RNAcentral lists this transfer RNA (75 nucleotides) under [Eubacterium] siraeum. RNAcentral describes it as "tRNA-Gln". It matches the Rfam family "tRNA". Rfam says of the family: Transfer RNA (tRNA) molecules are approximately 80 nucleotides in length. Lineage: Bacteria; Bacillati; Bacillota; Clostridia; Eubacteriales; Oscillospiraceae. RNAcentral also lists the same sequence under 1 other name. The record is from RNAcentral.
UGGGAUAUAGCCAAGUGGUAAGGCAACGGACUUUGACUCCGUCACUCGUGGGUUCAAAUCCCGCUAUCCCAGCCA